Molecule: long non-coding RNA, 1018 nt
Filed under: Leguminivora glycinivorella
Lineage: Eukaryota; Metazoa; Arthropoda; Insecta; Lepidoptera; Tortricidae
Description: uncharacterized LOC125224773
Source: RNAcentral
AAAAGAAAAAAUGGAUGCCGUUCAGACGUAGACGCAUCAUUUGGAACUGAAAAUUACGUAAUUUAUCGACCUGCUGGCUUGUAUUUGUUAUAAAUCAUAAAAAAAUUAUGGAAAACAUCAUGAACAAUAAUGAAACAAACCGAACCUUUAGCUACAAUAAUAAAAUGACCCCAUGACGCCAGUGGAACUACGUGGUUUUCUUUCAUGAUGAUUUGAUGAUACCACAAUGGAAUUAGCCAAGUUUUCGCCGUAUUGGGUGCUAGAUGCCCCUUGGAGUUAAGCCCCAGUGCCACUAUACUACCUUACCAGUUAUGUGUGGGUGUUGUAGUCCUAAGACACCCCGGAGGUACAAAGGGCCUUCACAAACUCACGCCACGCCUUCCUAUCUUCAGCAACCCUCGUGACCUCGCUCCACCAGCUCAAACCUGCCAGUCGCAGCUCAUUUUUCGACGGACCGCUUCCAUGAGUAGACAAGGCACCGACGAUCACGGCUUGCAUCACCUGUACUGCUUCGUAAUAUAGCAUGCUGAACAAUGCUGACAUUAUACUAGGAUCAACGUCCUGCCCCUUCCCCGGCUAUGUACAAAUUGGAACUCCAUGCCCCUGCAUGCCCCUUUGACUGAGCAACAUGUGUGUGCUCGAAACACAUUCAAUUGCAACAAAAUGAUUCCCAGGCUGACCUGGCUCAGCUCUUGUAUGUCUGAUCUACAUAGACAAUGGUUUCAAUGAAAGAGUGAAAAUUCUUCUCCAUGUACAAUCACUUUCAACGCCUACACUGACUACACCAAAUAUGAUCAUCACUCAACGUGUCUCACAUCAAGAUACUUUUCAAAAGUCAUCAAGAAGUGGAACAAUAUUUUUUUUUUCCAUUAUUGCCUGAAUAAUCCUAACUAAAAGUUAUUUCUCUAUUCUAUUUUUCCUGCAUGGAGUGGCGCUUUUCCGUCUAAUGGAACCAACAAGAACAUGUAUGCUCUGGGUUUUUAUUGUGCACCUUUCCAAUAUUACUAAUAAAGCAUUU